CAGGACGUAGCUAAACGUAUAGCACCUCCCUUACACCGAGAAGAUGCCCGUGCAAGACAGGCCGCCCUGA
This 70-nucleotide transfer RNA is filed under the name Chromogobius britoi. RNAcentral's name for it is "tRNA-Val". It matches the Rfam family "tRNA". From Rfam's summary of the family: Transfer RNA (tRNA) molecules are approximately 80 nucleotides in length. Their secondary structure includes four short double-helical elements and three loops (D, anti-codon, and T loops). Lineage: Eukaryota; Metazoa; Chordata; Actinopteri; Gobiiformes; Gobiidae. The record is from RNAcentral.